Molecule: transfer RNA, 72 nt
Filed under: Plutella xylostella (diamondback moth)
Lineage: Eukaryota; Metazoa; Arthropoda; Insecta; Lepidoptera; Plutellidae
Description: tRNA-Ser
Source: RNAcentral
GCCGACUGGUGUAGUGGUUAGUGACCCUGAUUGCUAAGCCGAAGGUGCCGGGUUCGAUUCCCGGCUGGGGCA